AAGGAUUCAUGCUUGUGAUACGUAAGUUGAGUAUUCUCCAAAUAAUUACUUAAACAAAAAAAAAAAGCAAAAGUAAUACUAACUUCUAACUCAUUAACAACUAACAUUUAAUUUCAAGUGUCCAUUUUAAUGCACUUUAUAUUUUAAGCUUUAUUCAUUUUCCAUUAUUCAUACCAACCUAAUUGUUUAUGUUGAUGUCAUUCUCA
Molecule: long non-coding RNA, 206 nt
Filed under: Lathyrus oleraceus (garden pea)
Lineage: Eukaryota; Viridiplantae; Streptophyta; Magnoliopsida; Fabales; Fabaceae
Description: Pisum sativum (pea) long non-coding RNA (PSAT_LNC011361)
Source: RNAcentral